Molecule: long non-coding RNA, 1345 nt
Filed under: Homo sapiens (human)
Lineage: Eukaryota; Metazoa; Chordata; Mammalia; Primates; Hominidae
Description: HSALNT0400878
Source: RNAcentral
AGUCCUUCGCCGUCCCUCGCCGUCCUUCGCCAUCGCACGCCACCGCACCCCAUCUCUCGAAAUCUGCAGACAUCUUGAUUUUUCCCACGCUGUCUGUCAGGUCUCCGCCGCCACUCGACGCCAGGGCGCCGGGCCUUGUGGGCUGUGCUGCACCUCGGACGGCUUCGCACCAGCCAGCGCCCUCUCUCUCCUGCAGCACUCUGAUCUGCACCCCCUGAGGGGCUUCCACUGUCCGCGGGGUGAGAAUGCCCCUGGGAGUGUCACAUGACUGCCGCCCCAUGUGUGUGAGAGGCGUCCUCUGGGAGAGCAUGGAUCCUGAGGUCCCAGGAACAUCCCGAGAGCCAAGUUCCCAGAUGCCAGCCAAGGGCCAUCUGACCUGUUUUGAAUCUCAAUUUCCUGAUACAGAAAACAAAGGAUUGUCAGCUGACCUCUGUCCUGUGUGCCCAGUGGCCCCAGGUGACGUGUCUUCAAGAAGAGGCUGAGCUGCGGUGCUUGUAAGAUGGGUCUGCUGUGUGCAGAGGCUCCAUGGGAUGUGUUGUCUUCAUAGUAGCAGGGCGCUGGACCAUGGGUCCGCAAGGUCUCAGCCUUAGAUCCAAGGACAGUCCAAGGAAGUCCUAAGACCAUGGAGUUGGUGAUCUGGGAUCUGGGUUUGCUGAUAUUUCUCACCGUGAAUCUCUUGGUGGUGUUUGUGGGCACGAGAGGGGCAGAGAAUGGAGAGUGAGGCUACCACAUGAAGCGUCACCAGAGCUGCUCCCUGCUGCCUGCUCAGAGCACCCCGGAUCCACUGUUCAAUCUGCACAAGAUUCGGGGUCCAGACAUGGGAGACUUCAGCUGCCUCAGAGGACCGUGGACAGGGAAGGCCAGCCUCGCAUCCCUCUGUCCAUGCCUGGAAUGACUUUAAUAACCAAGAGUUUUAUUUUUGAAUUUGUAGCUGUCGUUCACUUUUUACCCACCCAUUCAAUAAACCUUACAGAAUUGCUCCAUGUGCUUCUUAAAUCAGUGACAACCUGUGAGCCUGCCAGGCUGGCUUUGGAGAAGAGGGAGGAAUCUACACAUGUCCCAGGGGCCAUGGUGAAAAGGUGCAGUUAAUCUCCCCACUUGAAGUUAAAACCACCUUGGCUGGAGUUGGGGCAAAAAUCACGCUGCGUCUCGCUGCUGACUCCCAGGCUGGAAUACUCUGGCGUGAUCUUUGCUCACUGCAACCUCCACCGCCUGGGUUCAAGCGAUUCUCCUGCCUCAGCCUCCUGAGUAACUGGGACUACAGGUAUGUGCCCCUACACCCGGCUAAUUUUUGUAUUUUUAGUAGAGACGAGGUUUCACCAUGUUGGCCAGGCUGGUCUUGAAC